RNAcentral lists this ribosomal RNA (815 nucleotides) under Microbacterium terrae. RNAcentral describes it as "bacterial SSU rRNA". It matches the Rfam family "Bacterial small subunit ribosomal RNA", at positions 651 to 1458 of the family's 1533-position model. The record is from RNAcentral. Lineage: Bacteria; Bacillati; Actinomycetota; Actinomycetes; Micrococcales; Microbacteriaceae.
GGAGGAGGAGGAUGGGAAUUUCGGGGGGUGGGGGUGGAAGGAGCGAGGAUCAGGAGGGAACCCGGAGGACGAAGGAGGUUUUAUGGCCGUAAACUGACGUGGAGGAGGGAAAGGGGUGGGGGAGCAAACAGGCUUAGAUGCCUGGUGGGUCCACCCCGUGAACGUUGGGGGAACUAGUUGUGGGGUCCUUUCCACGGAUUCCGUGACGCAGCUAACGCAUUAAGUUCCCCGCCUGGGGAGUACGGCCGCAAGGCUAAAACUCAAAGGAAUUGGGGGGGACCCGCACAAGCGGCGGAGCAUGCGGAUUAAUUCGAUGCAACGCGAAGAACCUUACCAAGGCUUGACAUACACGAGAACGCUGCAGAAAUGUAGAACUCUUUGGACACUCGUGAACAGGUGGUGCAUGGUUGUCGUCAGCUCGUGUCGUGAGAUGUUGGGUUAAGUCCCGCAACGAGCGCAACCCUCGUUCUAUGUUGCCAGCACGUAAUGGUGGGAACUCAUGGGAUACUGCCGGGGUCAACUCGGAGGAAGGUGGGGAUGACGUCAAAUCAUCAUGCCCCUUAUGUCUUGGGCUUCACGCAUGCUACAAUGGCCGGUACAAAGGGCUGCAAUACCGUGAGGUGGAGCGAAUCCCAAAAAGCCGGUCCCAGUUCGGAUUGAGGUCUGCAACUCGACCUCAUGAAGUCGGAGUCGCUAGUAAUCGCAGAUCAGCAACGCUGCGGUGAAUACGUUCCCGGGUCUUGUACACACCGCCCGUCAAGUCAUGAAAGUCGGUAACACCUGAAGCCGGUGGCCCAACCCUGGGAGGACCGUCG